GUAUUGAUUGCGUGUGACCGCAAAGAUAACAUUCUACACUGUAUCAAGUUUUGUGUGAAAACGUGAGCUCCUUUUGCAAAAGAAGACCCACGCGGUGAUGCACAAAGGGGUGAGAUGGAUGUGUGAGAGUGCUCGGGCGUGCACGACCUUUAAAAAGGUCAGCGACAGCCCGGGCACCUCCGUUGUAUGAUAAUGAUCCUUCCGCAGGUUCACCUACGGAAA
This 222-nucleotide unclassified non-coding RNA is filed under the name uncultured fungus. Its description in RNAcentral is "sequence contains ITS1". The record is from RNAcentral. Lineage: Eukaryota; Fungi.